This 433-nucleotide ribosomal RNA is filed under the name uncultured bacterium. RNAcentral describes it as "partial 16S ribosomal RNA". It matches the Rfam family "Bacterial small subunit ribosomal RNA", at positions 29 to 507 of the family's 1533-position model. The record is from RNAcentral.
GCGAACGCUGGCGGCAGGCCUAACACAUGCAAGUCGAACGAACCUUUCGGGGUUAGUGGCGGACGGGUGAGUAACACGUGGGAACGUGCCUUUAGGUUCGGAAUAACUCAGGGAAACUUGUGCUAAUACCGAAUGUGCCCUUCGGGGGAAAGAUUUAUCGCCUUUAGAGCGGCCCGCGUCUGAUUAGCUAGUUGGUUGAGGUAAUGGCUCACCAAGGCGACGAUCAGUAGCUGGUCUGAGAGGAUGAUCAGCCACAUUGGGACUGAGACACGGCCCAAACUCCUACGGGAGGCAGCAGUGGGGAAUCUUGCGCAAUGGGCGAAAGCCUGAGGCAGCCAUGCCGCGUGAAUGAUGAAGGUCUUAGGAUUGUAAAAUUCUUUCACCGGGGACGAUAAUGACGGUACCCGGAGAAGAAGCCCCGGCUAACUUCGUG